Molecule: ribosomal RNA, 253 nt
Filed under: uncultured bacterium
Lineage: Bacteria
Description: partial 16S ribosomal RNA
Rfam family: Bacterial small subunit ribosomal RNA
Source: RNAcentral
GACGAACCGUGCAAACGUUAUUCGGAAUCACUGGGCUUAAAGGGCGCGUAGGCGGGCCGCCAGGUCCGGGGUGAAAGCCUCCAGCUCAACUGGAGAAGUGCCUCUGAUACUGCGGGCCUCGAGGGGGAUAGGGGCGUGCGGAACUCAGGGUGGAGCGGUGAAAUGCGUAGAUAUCCUGAGGAACACCGGUGGCGAAAGCGGCGCGCUGGAUCCCUUCUGACGCUGAGGCGCGAAAGCCAGGGGAGCAAACGGG